This 165-nucleotide ribosomal RNA is filed under the name uncultured bacterium. RNAcentral's name for it is "partial 16S ribosomal RNA". It matches the Rfam family "Bacterial small subunit ribosomal RNA", at positions 359 to 526 of the family's 1533-position model. The record is from RNAcentral.
GGGUAUCCAUGGGCGAGCUGAUGCAGCCUGCCGCGUGAGUGAGAAGGCCUUCGGGUUGUAAAGCUCUUUUGUAGGGAAGAAGGUGCGGGGGCUAAUAUCCUAGGGAAUUGACGGUACCUGGCGAAGAAGCCCCGGCUAACUCCGUGCCAGCAGCCGCGGUAAUAA